CCUACGGGGGGCAGCAGUGAGGAAUAUUGGUCAAUGGGCGGGAGACUGAACCAGCCAAGCCGCGUGAGGGAGGAAGGUACAGAGUAUCGUAAACCUCUUUUGUCAGGGAACAAAGACUGGGACGCGUCCCCGGAUGAGUGUACCUGAAGAAAAAGCAUCGGCUAACUCCGUGCCAGCAGCCGCGGUAAUCCGGAGGAUGCGAGCGUUAUCCGGAUUUAUUGGGUUUAAAGGGCGGGCAGGGGGUCUGUUAAGUCAGCGGUCAAAGCCCGGGGUUCAACCCCGGCCCGCCGUUGAUACUGGCAGUCUCGAGUUGGAGAGAGGUAGGCGGAAUGCGCGGUGUAGCGGUGAAAUGCAUAGAUAUCGCGAAGAACUCCGAUUGCGAAGGCAGCAUGC
RNAcentral lists this ribosomal RNA (393 nucleotides) under uncultured bacterium. Its description in RNAcentral is "partial 16S ribosomal RNA". It matches the Rfam family "Bacterial small subunit ribosomal RNA", at positions 338 to 729 of the family's 1533-position model. The record is from RNAcentral.